AGAGUUUGAUCAUGGCUCAGGACGAACGCUGGCGGCGUGCUUAACACAUGCAAGUCGAACGAUGAAGCCUUAGCUUGCUUUGGUGGAUUAGUGGCGAACGGGUGAGUAACACGUGAGCAACGUGCCCAGGACUCUGGAAUAACCGCCGGAAACGGUGGCUAAUACUGGAUAGGUGCCAAGGCCGCAUGGUCUUUGGUUGGAAAGAUUUUUCGGUUCUGGAUCGGCUCGCGGCCUAUCAGCUUGUUGGUGGGGUAAUGGCCUACCAAGGCGACGACGGGUAGCCGGCCUGAGAGGGUGACCGGCCACACUGGGACUGAGACACGGCCCAGACUCCUACGGGAGGCAGCAGUGGGGAAUAUUGCACAAUGGGCGCAAGCCUGAUGCAGCAACGCCGCGUGAGGGAUGACGGCCUUCGGGUUGUAAACCUCUUUUAGUAGGGAAGAAGCGAAAGUGACGGUACCUGCAGAAAAAGCACCGGCUAACUACGUGCCAGCAGCCGCGGUAAUACGUAGGGUGCAAGCGUUGUCCGGAAUUAUUGGGCGUAAAGAGCUCGUAGGCGGUUUGUCGCGUCUGCUGUGAAAUUCCGAGGCUCAACCCUCGGGCGUGCAGUGGGUACGGGCAGACUUGAGUGCGGUAGGGGGAAGAUUGGAAUUCCUGGUGGUAGCGGUGGAAUGCGCAGAUAUCAGAGGAACACCGAAUGGCGAAAGCAGAUCUCUGGGCCGUUACUGACGCUGAGGAGCGAAGCAUGGGGAGCGACAGGAUAGAUACCCUGGUAGUCCAUGCCGGUAAACGUGGGCGCU
RNAcentral lists this ribosomal RNA (800 nucleotides) under uncultured bacterium. Its description in RNAcentral is "bacterial SSU rRNA". It matches the Rfam family "Bacterial small subunit ribosomal RNA", at positions 8 to 817 of the family's 1533-position model. The record is from RNAcentral.